This 433-nucleotide ribosomal RNA is filed under the name uncultured bacterium. RNAcentral describes it as "partial 16S ribosomal RNA". It matches the Rfam family "Bacterial small subunit ribosomal RNA", at positions 29 to 507 of the family's 1533-position model. The record is from RNAcentral.
AACGAACGCUGGCGGCAUGCCUAACACAUGCAAGUCGAACGAGACCUUCGGGUCUAGUGGCGCACGGGUGCGUAACGCGUGGGAACCUGCCCUUAGGUUCGGAAUAACUCCCCGAAAGGGGUGCUAAUACCGGAUAAUGUCUUCGGACCAAGGAUUUAUCGGCUUUGGAUGGGCCUGCGUUGGUUUAGCUAGUUGGUAGGGUAAAAGCCUACCAAGGCGACGAUCCAUAGCUGGUCUGAGAGGAUGAUCAGCCACACUGGGACUGAGACACGGCCCAGACUCCUACGGGAGGCAGCAGUGGGGAAUAUUGGACAAUGGGCGAAAGCCUGAUCCAGCAAUGCCGCGUGAGUGAUGAAGGCCUUAGGGUUGUAAAGCUCUUUUAACCGGGAUGAUAAUGACAGUACCGGGAGAAUAAGCGCCGGCUAACUCCGUG